AGAGUUUGAUCCUGGCUCAGAUUGAACGCUGGCGGCAGGCCUAACACAUGCAAGUCGAGCGGUAGAGAGAAGCUUGCUUCUCUUGAGAGCGGCGGACGGGUGAGUAAUGCCUAGGAAUCUGCCUGGUAGUGGGGGAUAACGUUCGGAAACGGACGCUAAUACCGCAUACGUCCUACGGGAGAAAGCAGGGGACCUUCGGGCCUUGCGCUAUCAGAUGAGCCUAGGUCGGAUUAGCUAGUUGGUGGGGUAAUGGCUCACCAAGGCGACGAUCCGUAACUGGUCUGAGAGGAUGAUCAGUCACACUGGAACUGAGACACGGUCCAGACUCCUACGGGAGGCAGCAGUGGGGAAUAUUGGACAAUGGGCGAAAGCCUGAUCCAGCCAUGCCGCGUGUGUGAAGAAGGUCUUCGGAUUGUAAAGCACUUUAAGUUGGGAGGAAGGGCCGUUACCUAAUACGUGAUGGUUUUGACGUUACCGACAGAAUAAGCACCGGCUAACUCUGUGCCAGCAGCCGCGGUAAUACAGAGGGUGCAAGCGUUAAUCGGAAUUACUGGGCGUAAAGCGCGC
RNAcentral lists this ribosomal RNA (567 nucleotides) under uncultured bacterium. RNAcentral's name for it is "bacterial SSU rRNA". It matches the Rfam family "Bacterial small subunit ribosomal RNA", at positions 8 to 570 of the family's 1533-position model. The record is from RNAcentral.